This 403-nucleotide ribosomal RNA is filed under the name bacterium. Its description in RNAcentral is "partial 16S ribosomal RNA". It matches the Rfam family "Bacterial small subunit ribosomal RNA", at positions 355 to 776 of the family's 1533-position model. The record is from RNAcentral.
UGGGGAAUCUUGCACAAUGGGGGAAACCCUGAUGCAGCGACGCCGCGUGAGCGAUGAAGGUUUUCGAAUCGUAAAGCUCUGUCCUAUGGGAAGAUAAUGACGGUACCAUAGGAGGAAGCCCCGGCUAACUACGUGCCAGCAGCCGCGGUAAUACGUAGGGGGCGAGCGUUGUCCGGAAUUACUGGGCGUAAAGGGUUCGCAGGCGGCAUGACAAGUCCGGUGUAAAAGGCGAAAGCUCAAAUUUCGUAAGCAUCGGAAACUGUCAAGCUUGAGUGAAGGAGAGGCAAGUGGAAUUCCUAGUGUAGCGGUGGAAUGCGUAGAUAUUAGGAGGAAUACCGGUGGCGAAGGCGACUUGCUGGACUUCAACUGACGCUGAGGAACGAAAGCGUGGGUAGCAAACAGG